Molecule: long non-coding RNA, 620 nt
Filed under: Mytilus galloprovincialis (Mediterranean mussel)
Lineage: Eukaryota; Metazoa; Mollusca; Bivalvia; Mytilida; Mytilidae
Source: RNAcentral
AUAUUCGAAAUCAAAAUAAAACUGGAACUCGAACUUAAUUUGUGUCGAUUAUGGAGCGUUGUGUAAUAACAGAAAUGUUAGCCAAUUUUAAAUUUCUUCCGAAAACGGUGUCAUUGAGGGCUUUUUUUUUUAUAAAGUGCCGAGUUUGUGGCUUUUUAAACACGGCAUUUCGGGUUUUAUCUUCCCGGUGCAAUGGACAAGUUAGUGAAUUUAUUCUGUUUGUAGUCUAAAUGGAACGUGUUACUUUUCAGCCCAGAUACCCUCAAUCUUCCGAAGUAGAAGAUUCUACAUCUGCAAGCCGUAAAUUAAUUUUUUUAUACGGCAUGAGGCACACAUUAGUAUUUCCUAUACAACAAAUGCAAUUAAGAAAUUUAGAUGACUCCAACUUUGACAAUUACUUUUUAAUAAACUGUUACUGUAUGUUUAAUAAUGAAUAAUCAAAAUACCUUAAAAAAACAUUAUUAUAUAAAACAAAAUAUAUAUAUAAUUUAACCCAAUAGUUCCAAGCAUUGCAAGAAAUGCUGCUAUGCUAGCAACGUCGUUCUAUAACGUUAAGAGAAAAAGUUAUAAUUCCCGCCAAAAAUUGAUAAUAAGAUUAUUUCCACUGUAGCGGAUUUAAA